RNAcentral lists this ribosomal RNA (155 nucleotides) under uncultured bacterium. RNAcentral's name for it is "partial 16S ribosomal RNA". The record is from RNAcentral.
CACGGAGUUAGCCGAUCCUUAUUCCUACAGUACCGUCAAGACUCUACUCGUAGAGUUGUUUCUUCCUGUAUAAAAGCAGUUUACAAUCCAUAGGACCGUCUUCCUGCACGCGGCAUGGCUGGUUCAGGCUUGCGCCCAUUGACCAAUAUUCCUCA